AUGGAGGCCAUGGACGUCAAGUACCGGCCGGCCCUCUACCCCAACGGCUCCGUCAAGAAGCUCCGGCAGGCGGCCGCGCCGCCGCCGCCGCCGGUGGAGGCCGUGCCCACGUACAAGGAGUGCCUCAAGAACCACGCGGCGGCCAUCGGCGCGCACGCCGUCGACGGCUGCGGCGAGUGGAUGCCCGUGGUGGAGCUCAACACCGCCGACCCGGCCUCGUAUAAGUGCGCGGCCUGCGGCUGCCACCGCAACUUCCACCGCCUCGUGAUGGUGGAGGGCUCGCCGCCGCCCCCGCCCCCGCCCCCGCCGGCCCUGCUGCCGGCGCCGCCCGUGCCCAUGCCCAUGCCGGCCACCGUGCUCCAUGGCCUGCGGCAGCGCGCGCACGGGCAUGAGACGCCGGAGGACCGGCUCCCGGGCGUCGACGGCGACGACUCUGACUCCGACUCGGAUGGCUCCGAGUACGACGACGAGCGCUCCGUCUCCCCGCCCCAGCACCCUCCGCCCGCGCACCUCCCGGCCCCGGUGGCGCAGCAGCCGCCGCCGUACAUCUCUUCCGCGCCACACCCGCACAUGCUGCUCUCUCUCAACUCCAGCGCGCCGGGGGCGCCGCAGGGCCAGAGCAGGCUCCCCGCCCAGCUCUCGCCGGCGACGGCGCCGCCGCCCCACGGGAUGAUGCCGGCCAGGAAGCGGUUCCGCACCAAGUUCACCGCGGAGCAGAAGCAGCGGAUGCAGGAGCUGUCGGAGCGGCUGGGGUGGCGGCUGCAGAAGCGCGACGAGGGCGUGGUCGACGAGUGGUGCCGCGACAUCGGCGUCAGCAAGGGCGUCUUCAAGGUCUGGAUGCACAACAACAAGCACAACUACCUCGGCGGCCACAGCGCCCGCCGCAGCGCCUCAGCCGCGGCCUCCUCCGCCGCGACCACCCCCACCGCCCCUGCCGCCGGCGGGCCAUUCCGUCUCGCCCCGGCCAGCCCCGCACCAGGAGCGCCAUUCAACCCCUCCGCCAGCCACAGCUCCCCGGCCCCCACGGGCACGGGCUUCAACAUGAACGGUACCGCCUCCUCCGCCUCCACCGCCACCACCACCGCCACGCCCACCCCCAUCUUCGCCGCCGGCCGCAAGCUGAACGGAGCCUCAUCGCCGCAGUCGGCGUGA
RNAcentral lists this ribosomal RNA (1152 nucleotides) under Triticum aestivum (bread wheat). RNAcentral describes it as "partial small subunit ribosomal RNA". The record is from RNAcentral. Lineage: Eukaryota; Viridiplantae; Streptophyta; Magnoliopsida; Poales; Poaceae.